CAUUCAUUCAUUCACUUCCAAAGAGAGAGAGGAGAAAAACUAUGGGCAAGGAAAACGAUAGCGUUCCAUCGUCGGCGCAAGGCUUCAAGCUCGUAGGAUUUUCCAACUUCGUCAGAACAAAUCCUCGAUCCGAUCUUUUCAAGGUCAAGCGCUUUCACCACGUGGAGUUCUGGUGCACUGAUGCUACCAAUACGGCUUGUCGCUUCUCCUGGGGACUUGGAAUGCCUUUCGUAGCUAAAUCCGAUCUUUCCACUGGCAACGUCACCCAUGCUUCCUAUCUACUUCGCUCCGGCGACCUCAGCUUCCUUUUUACCGCUCCCUACUCUCCUACUAUUGCUUCCAUGGAGAACUUUUCGCACACUGCCACCGCAUCUAUCCCAACCUUCAGUCAUGAAGCGUGCCGG
RNAcentral lists this unclassified non-coding RNA (404 nucleotides) under Hevea brasiliensis (rubber tree). Lineage: Eukaryota; Viridiplantae; Streptophyta; Magnoliopsida; Malpighiales; Euphorbiaceae. The record is from RNAcentral.